RNAcentral lists this transfer RNA (73 nucleotides) under Zymoseptoria tritici IPO323. RNAcentral describes it as "Mycosphaerella graminicola IPO323 tRNA". It matches the Rfam family "tRNA", at positions 9 to 63 of the family's 71-position model. From Rfam's summary of the family: Transfer RNA (tRNA) molecules are approximately 80 nucleotides in length. Their secondary structure includes four short double-helical elements and three loops (D, anti-codon, and T loops). Lineage: Eukaryota; Fungi; Ascomycota; Dothideomycetes; Mycosphaerellales; Mycosphaerellaceae. The record is from Rfam by way of RNAcentral.
AGCGCAAUGGUAGCGCGUCAGACUUCUACUCUGCUUGCCAGUGUUAUCUGAAGGUUGCGGGUUCGAGUCCCGC